GUAUAAUUAUCUGGCUCAGAUGAACGCUGGCGGCAGGCCUAACACAUGCAAGUCGAACGGUAACAGGAAGCAGCUUGCUGCUUCGCUGACGAGUGGCGGACGGGUGAGUAAUGUCUGGGAAACUGCCUGAUGGAGGGGGAUAACUACUGGAAACGGUAGCUAAUACCGCAUAACGUCGCAAGACCAAAGAGGGGGACCUUCGGGCCUCUUGCCAUCGGAUGUGCCCAGAUGGGAUUAGCUAGUAGGUGGGGUAACGGCUCACCUAGGCGACGAUCCCUAGCUGGUCUGAGAGGAUGACCAGCCACACUGGAACUGAGACACGGCCCAGACUCCUACGGGAGGCAACAGUAGGGAAUCUUCGGCAAUGGGGGGAACCCUGACCGAGCAACGCCGCGUGAGUGAAAAAGGUUUUCGGAUCGUAAAGCUCUGUUGUAAGAGAAGAACGAGUGUGAGAGUGGAAAGUUCACACUGUGACGGUAUCUUACCAGAAAGGGACGGCUAACUACGUGCCAGCAGCCGCGGUAAUACGUAGGUCCCGAGCGUUAUCCGGAUUUAUUGGGCGUAAAGCGAGCGCAGGCGGUUAGAUAAGUCUGAAGUUAAAGGCUGUGGCUUAACCAUAGUACGCUUUGGAAACUGUUUAACUUGAGUGCAAGAGGGGAGAGUGGAAUUCCAUGUGUAGCGG
This 682-nucleotide ribosomal RNA is filed under the name uncultured bacterium. Its description in RNAcentral is "bacterial SSU rRNA". It matches the Rfam family "Bacterial small subunit ribosomal RNA", at positions 1 to 681 of the family's 1533-position model. The record is from RNAcentral.